Long non-coding RNA from Frankliniella occidentalis (western flower thrips), 451 nucleotides. RefSeq lists it as uncharacterized. The transcript has 3 exons. Lineage: Eukaryota; Metazoa; Arthropoda; Insecta; Thysanoptera; Thripidae. The record is from RefSeq and is a predicted model, not a curated record.
CUGCGAGCAGGGGUCCGGAGGGGACCCGGCAAGGCUCGGCUCGGCUCCGGUCCCGGCGCCUUAGCCGGCCACCUCCGCGUCACGUGGGCGGCAUCGCGGUCCCCUUGCGCCGAAAGCGCUCGCGCGUGUGCGGGACGUGUGCGUGUGCGUGCGUGUGCGUGUGUGUGGAUGUGCGUGUGUGUUUUAUAUGUGUGUCGACGUGAGAUUGCGUGUCAGUGCGGUGACCGUGCCAAAUAAGAACAAUACAUACGUGCAUCAAAAGUGCCAAAAAAGUGAAAGUGUAGGUGUGACAGCGUGCCAGUGAAAAUGUAAAAGUGUAGUGCUCAUCACAUCGCCUCCACAUGGAUUAUUUCAACCCAUUGGAUUACGAGGGCGGUGACAGCCAGAUGGAUUCCACCAUACGGGAUAUUGGUAAGCUGAAAGUACACUCAAGCAGAAUGGACUUUCGCGG